This 369-nucleotide ribosomal RNA is filed under the name Triticum aestivum (bread wheat). RNAcentral describes it as "partial small subunit ribosomal RNA". Lineage: Eukaryota; Viridiplantae; Streptophyta; Magnoliopsida; Poales; Poaceae. The record is from RNAcentral.
CUAGGGAUAACAGGCUGAUCUUCCCCAAGAGUCCACAUCGACGGGAAGGUUUGGCACCUCGACAUUCGGGAAAGACAAGAAAAUUUCAGGGUAGGAAACAUUAUCUAGAAUUUCUCUUAGAUUCGAACCCAUAGCUGAUGAUAGAACUAGAAUAGAUAUCUUUUGUUUUCUACUCACGCGAGCCCAUAUCCUUUCUUUUUUAUCAAUUGCUAAUUCCGAUCCCCCCCAAUCUGAUAUUAUAGUGCCAGUGUAGAUAGAAAUUCCCUUAUGAUCUAAUUCCGAGCGGUAGUAAAUACCAGGACUUAGCAAUAUUUGAUUGAUCAUAAUUCGGUAUAUUCCAUGUAUAAUAAAGGUUCCUAAGGAAUUCAU